This 294-nucleotide long non-coding RNA is filed under the name Canis lupus familiaris (dog). RNAcentral's name for it is "lncRNA (ENSCAFG00805019339.1, ENSCAFG00845020735.1)". The record is from RNAcentral. Lineage: Eukaryota; Metazoa; Chordata; Mammalia; Carnivora; Canidae.
GCUUCCCAUGAGGUGAAACACAGAAAGGAAUAAUAGUCUCCACCUCAUAGGAGGACAUGCUGUAUCCCAUACCACAUAUUGGUUGAUUCUUCUAACACUUGAAGGACUUCCUGGGAAUUGAGACAUAAAACAACAACAACAACAACAACAACAUACAUCUUGUACUCAAGGAGCCUGUGAGUUCAACAGGCAUCAAAUAGCGUUUUACAUUCUGUUUGGGGAUGGAACUGAAAUGAAGCAAGAGAAUCCAUCAGCGGGGUGUUAAUCAAACACCUACCUUGUGCCCUCUACUGU